ACACUGCCAUGCUCCCAGCCAUGACGAUACGGGACUAAACCUCUAAAACUCCACAGUGUUUGGUAUCCAGAGAUUCCCAGUGUGGUUCCAUCCUGUUCACAGUCCCUCACUGACAGACGUCAAAGCAGGAACUCAAGGCAGGAACCUGAUAGCAGGAACUGAAGCCGAGACUACAGAGGAACACUAUUUACUGGCUUGAUCCUCGUGGCUUUCUCAGGCUGCUUACAUAUCAUACCACCCAGGAUCACCAGCCUAGGGUGGCACCACCCACAGUGUGUUGGCUCUCUCAAAUCAAUAAAAUGAAAUAAAAUAAAAUAAAUUGUACCACA
This is a long non-coding RNA of Mastomys coucha (southern multimammate mouse), 329 nucleotides long. RefSeq lists it as uncharacterized. NCBI's taxonomy places the organism in Eukaryota, Metazoa, Chordata, Mammalia, Rodentia, Muridae. The record is from RefSeq and is a predicted model, not a curated record. The transcript has 2 exons.